UCAGUUCCCGAAGAAGCACUCGGCAUGUGGGAGCGAAACGUCGGACAGCCCUGCCGGAGAGCCGACGGGGUGAAAAUCAACCCCCUUGGGAACUGGACAAGGGACUGCUGGAGGCUUGUAAUUUCACCGGCUGACUGUGGGAUACCCAUUGAUAGCAGCGUCACGCAGAACGCCCUUGGUUUGCCGUGGUCGCGAGAAGAAGUCUAAAUGCAACGUCAAAGUUGGGCCCCUUUAGUCCUUGAGUCCUUGAGUCGUACAUCCUAUUCAUAUAUUCUAUUGCAGAGUUUUUUGUUUCUUUAAUAAAAAUGUUUUACCCCCCCC
Molecule: long non-coding RNA, 321 nt
Organism: Petromyzon marinus (sea lamprey)
Lineage: Eukaryota; Metazoa; Chordata; Hyperoartia; Petromyzontiformes; Petromyzontidae
Source: RefSeq, a predicted model, not a curated record